RNAcentral lists this ribosomal RNA (507 nucleotides) under uncultured bacterium. RNAcentral describes it as "bacterial SSU rRNA". It matches the Rfam family "Bacterial small subunit ribosomal RNA", at positions 16 to 518 of the family's 1533-position model. The record is from RNAcentral.
AUUAUGGCUCAGGAUGAACGCUGGCGGCGUGCUUAAUACAUGCAAGUCGAACGAAGCACCUGCGACGGAUCCCUUCGGGGUGAAGAUGCUUGUGACUGAGUGGCGGACGGGUGAGUAACGCGUGGGUAACCUGCCUUAUGCAGGGGGACAACAGUUAGAAAUGACUGCUAAUACCGCAUAAGCGCACGAGACCGCAUGGUCAAGUGUGAAAAAGAUUUAUCGGCAUAAGAUGGACCCGCGUCUGAUUAGGUAGUUGGUGAGGUAACGGCCCACCAAGCCGACGAUCAGUAGCCGACUUGAGAGAGUGAUCGGCCACAUUGGGACUGAGACACGGCCCAGACUCCUACGGGAGGCAGCAGUAGGGAAUAUUGCACAAUGGGGGAAACCCUGAUGCCAGCGACGCCGCGUGAGUGAUUGAAGUAUUUCGGUACGUAAAGCUCUAUCAGCAGGGAAGAUAAUGACGGUACCUGACUAAGAAGCCCCGGCUAACUACGUGCCAGCCGCGGC